CACAGAUUCAGGUUUCGUGAACCUUCCAAAAAUCCAAGAAGAGUCACAGUCACGUUUCUCCUUAAAUUGUCAAGAACAGUUAUUGCCCGAGUCUUUAAAUGUACAUGAAGAUUCACCCCAACUAAUCUCAGAAAGGCAGAAGACCGCUGUGUCUGCUAGAGGCAGUAUCCGAGGACAAGAUCAUUCUUUACCAUUGUGUGAAAACAAUACAUUGCCAUCAGUUUUACCUCCCAAAAAUCAAGAUGUGGCUCCUCUUAAAAGCUCCCUGACCAGUCCUAAAAAACCUUCUGAAUCUCAGGAUGCUGAAGAAGUUUCUGUUUUCCCUAUUGAAAAGAUAACCACUUUGGAGACCCAGGAAAAAAUGUUUGCAGCUGUUACUCAAGAAGAUAAAAAGGCAUCUAUUCCAGUUCUUCCUGUCACACACACUACAACUGUAACUUUGGAAACUCACUUGCUUGAGGAAAAAAAUCUUCCAUGCGCUCAAGAAGUAGCUGUUAAAGGAGGACUUCCAUUAAUAACUCAAAUGAAUAAAAUGCAGCAAGCAUCAACGCUUUCACUAGCAGAAGCAGACCUGAACACUGGGAAGAAAACAGCCGAGCUUUUGCACAGUAUGCUUGCUAAGCUGUCACCAGGUAUAGAUGAUCUGCAAGACAUGGAAGCUUUUGAAGACAGUGAAAUAGAGAGCAGUGCUGAACAGCAAGUAUAUGACAUCCCACAAACAAGACGACUUCUACUGUCAAGUCUGGAACCAACUCUGACAGGCCUGCAAAUGGCAGAAGGUAAUAUAAUUAGCUUGCCAGCCAGCAUAAAUAGUGAGGACAGAGUUAGAACUGGAGCCUACGUUUGUAAUUUGGGUAAACUUCUGAGGUCUUUUUGUUUGGCUAGUUAGAUAUUGUUCUUUCUACUAAGGAGUUUAGUAACGGAAUGAGGGAAUUGGCCUUCUGUAAUGUGAAGAUCAACUGAUCCAAAAUAAUUUCUGGAAUUCUUUCUUUAAAUGUCCUCUAUAAUAAGUUAUAUGAAAACAAUAUCUCUCUCUUCUCAUUUGGGUAUGAAGUUACAAAUGAUACUGGUAACAGACUUUCCUCAUUAUAAUUGAUUGUGACUACAUACACUUGAAAAUAAAAUGAAAGGAUUUAUUUUAAAU
This 1144-nucleotide long non-coding RNA is filed under the name Struthio camelus australis. Its description in RNAcentral is "lncRNA (ENSSCUG00000007871.1)". The record is from RNAcentral. Lineage: Eukaryota; Metazoa; Chordata; Aves; Struthioniformes; Struthionidae.